This 502-nucleotide ribosomal RNA is filed under the name Ligilactobacillus salivarius. RNAcentral's name for it is "bacterial LSU rRNA". It matches the Rfam family "Bacterial large subunit ribosomal RNA", at positions 2425 to 2925 of the family's 2925-position model. Lineage: Bacteria; Bacillati; Bacillota; Bacilli; Lactobacillales; Lactobacillaceae. The record is from RNAcentral.
GGUUCCGUAUGGAAGGGCCAUCGCUCAACGGAUAAAAGCUACCCUGGGGAUAACAGGCUUAUCUCCCCCAAGAGUUCACAUCGACGGGGAGGUUUGGCACCUCGAUGUCGGCUCAUCGCAUCCUGGGGCUGUAGUCGGUCCCAAGGGUUGGGCUGUUCGCCCAUUAAAGCGGUACGCGAGCUGGGUUCAGAACGUCGUGAGACAGUUCGGUCCCUAUCCGUCGCGGGCGUAGGAAAUUUGAGAGGAUCUGUCCUUAGUACGAGAGGACCGGGAUGGACAUACCGCUGGUGUACCAGUUGUUCCGCCAGGAGCAUCGCUGGGUAGCUAAGUAUGGAUGAGAUAAACGCUGAAAGCAUCUAAGUGCGAAACUCACCUCGAGAUAAGAUUUCCCAUUACGUAAGUAAGUAAGAUCCCUGAAAGAUGAUCAGGUAGAUAGGAUGGAAGUGGAAGUGCUGCGAGGCAUGGAGCGGACCAUUACUAAUCGAUCGAGGACUUAACCAAG